RNAcentral lists this unclassified non-coding RNA (1058 nucleotides) under Hevea brasiliensis (rubber tree). Lineage: Eukaryota; Viridiplantae; Streptophyta; Magnoliopsida; Malpighiales; Euphorbiaceae. The record is from RNAcentral.
UGGCAAAACUGCUGAAGAAGUGAAAAGGCACUAUGAGCUUCUUGUUCAUGAUGUCAAGUAUAUUGAAUCUGGCCAAGUUCCCUUCCCCAAUUACAGGACCACCGGUACCAGAGGUAAUUAACUUCUUUUUCCCUUGAAAUACUUCAGGGAAUGUAUGCCCUGAUUUUUCAUCCAUUAUCAUGCAAGAAUCAAAGCUUAUAGUCUUUUCUUUUUACUCGGAUUCUCUUCUUUAUAACCCUUUUCUUUUUCUUGCUUUCAACUUCUUUAAACAAAAGAAAAAAAGUAAAAAAAGGAUUCUUUAGAUUGUUUUCAAUAGCUAAAUACUAUUUCAGAUUAUUUUUUUUUUUAAAGAAGUCAAAACUGAGCAUCGAAUGGGUGGUAUAAAAUUAUUAGAAGAGAGGGGAGAAUACGCAAGGAUAAGGAGUGCUUUACCCUUAUUUUAAAUUUAACACAUUCUUAUUCAGAAGGAACAAUAUUUAAAGUUAAUUCAAGGAGAGAGGUAUGCACAAAAUCAUAUAAGGGGCAUAAUAACUAAUGUCAAACUACAGUAAUGAAAAAUAUUUUUUUAAGAUGAAAAUAAAUUUAAAUGGUCUUAAAUUACGAAAAUAAAGCUGCAAAAUCUAAUUUUUUUUUUUGACCCCACAAACACUUUUCACGUGGCUUCUAUAAAUAAUGAUUUUGACUCUUGAUUGUGUUUAUAACUAAAUGGAUCUAUCAAAUUUAUUACACAAGCCAAACUUAAUAUGAUUGGUCUUGUUUUUUUAUGAGAGUUAAAAAUUUCUGAGUUGAAUAUUAAUUUUAAAUAAAUAAAAUAUUAAUUAUGGCUAGAACGAAAUCGAUUUUAAUUUUUCUUUUCCAAUGCAGGAUGAAAAAUAUGAAGCUGCUGUGAGCUAGAGGAAAGCUGAAGAAUCAUCAACAGCAAUCAAGAAGUUCACUUUACUCUAUUUUCAAUGAUUUUAUUUGAAGCCGUGCUUGUUUAGUAUAUGUUUUAUUAGUAAACCUACUUCAAGAAUCUUCUAUGCAGAUUCUACUAGUCUUUUUAUUAAUUUCUGUCUUUU